CCAAUAGCGUAUAUUAAAGUUGUUGCAGUUAAAAAGCUCGUAGUUGAAUUUCGGGAUUAAUUUACUGGUCGUGCUUUUGUACGUACUGGUUUUAUUGAUUCCUCCCUUCUGACGAACUAUGAUGUCAUUAAUUUGGUGUUAUAGGAAAUCAGGACUGUUACUUUGAAAAAAUUAGAGUGUUUAAAGCAGGCUCACGCUUGAAUACAUUAGCAUGGAAUAACGGAAGAGGACGUUUGAUUCUAUUUUGUUGGUUUCUAGGAUCGACGUAAUGAUUAAUAGGGAUAGUUGGGGGCAUUAGUAUUCAAUUGUCAGAGGUGAAAUUCUUGGAUUUAUUGAAGACUAACUACUGCGAAAGCAUUUGCCAAGGAUGUUUUCAUUAAUCAAGAACGAAAGUUAGGGGAUCGAAGACGAUCAGAUACCGUCGUAGUCUUAACCAUAAACUAUGCCGACUAGGGAUCGGAUGAUGUUAAUUUUUUAAUGACUCAUUCGGCGCCUUACG
This 499-nucleotide ribosomal RNA is filed under the name uncultured Glomeromycotina. RNAcentral's name for it is "partial small subunit ribosomal RNA". It matches the Rfam family "Eukaryotic small subunit ribosomal RNA", at positions 591 to 1092 of the family's 1831-position model. Lineage: Eukaryota; Fungi; Glomeromycota. The record is from RNAcentral.